Molecule: non-coding RNA, 108 nt
Organism: Bacillus thermozeamaize
Lineage: Bacteria; Bacillati; Bacillota; Bacilli; Caryophanales; Bacillaceae
Source: Rfam
UUCAUGGAGAGUUUGAUCCUGGCUCAGGACGAACGCUGGCGGCGCGCCUAAUACAUGCAAGUCGAGCGGGGAGGCAAGCGGAAGCCUUCGGGCGGAAGCUUGCAUCCU